Oryza sativa Japonica Group (Japanese rice) is the source of this 440-nucleotide non-coding RNA. The record is from RefSeq and is a predicted model, not a curated record. Lineage: Eukaryota; Viridiplantae; Streptophyta; Magnoliopsida; Poales; Poaceae.
GGGAAAAGAGAGCAAGACUGAGUACUACCCACUGUACUCAGCAAGUCAUACCGGAAGAGGAGGUUAUCUUCAUAUGUUUCAAUUGGCUCCACUCUUGGUGUAUGAUGCUUUCACAAGAACAACAGGAUACUAUGCGCAAUGGUGCUACACGCUUGGAAUUAGCAGUCAAGUAACUUUUAUUCCAGUUUGGAUGGCGUAGUACCUAUAGAAUUUCGUGAUAAAAUCUACGUGAUUUUGAAAAAAAUAUUAUUUUAGUAGAUCAUAUCAUCGGCAGAAGUUGGGGGUUUGUCCCAUCUCGCUUUUUUUAACUUUUCUGUGCACGUCUGAAUUUUUUGGCUGUGUGCCUACGGGCAGAGGCCGGAGAUGUAACCCAUUUCCAUUAUCUAAAAAAUUGUUACUUUCAUUAAUCAUUUACUAGGCAGUGCCGAUUGUUUGGAUGA